AGAGCGCACGGAGGAUGCCUUGGCUUCGGCAGGCGAAGAAGGACGCGGUAAGCUGCGAAAAGGUCCGGGGAUUUGCAAACAGGAUUUGAUCCGGACGUGUCCGAAUGGGGCAACCCGCACGGCUGAAGGCCGUGCACCAGACUGUGUCUGGGGCGAACCCGGGGAACUGAAACAUCUUAGUACCCGGAGGAGGAGAAAGAAAGAGUCGAUUCCCCCAGUAGUGGCGAUCGAAGAGGGAAGAGCCUAAACCGUCGUGUUCACGGACAUGGCGGGGUUGUAGGACCGGAGAUAUGGACUGCCUCACGAACCGGAAUUUUCUGGAAAGUGAAGGCGCAGAGGGUGACACCCCCGUACGGGCAAGGCGGGGCAGUCCUAUCCGGCACCUGAGUAGGGCGGGGCACGUGGAAUCCUGUCCGAACCCGCGGGGACCAUCCCGCAAGGCUAAAGACUGCCGAAGACCGAUAGCGGACCAGUACCGUGAGGGAAAGGUGGGAAGCACCCCGGGAAGGGGAGUGAAAUAGAACCUGAAACCGUGCGCUUGCAAGCGGUCGGAGCACCGGUGACGGUGUGACGGCGUGCCUUUUGCAUAAUGAGCCUACGAGUUGCGUCAGUCCGGCGAGGCUAAGCCCUUCAGGGGCGGAGCCGGAGCGAGAGCGAGUCUGAACAGGGCGUUCAGUCGGGCUGAGCAGACGCGAAACCUAGUGAUCUACCCUUGUCCAGGGUGAAGGCGCCGUAACAGGCGCUGGAGGCCCGAACCAGUUUCCGUUGAAAAGGGCUUGGAUGAGAUGAGGGUAGGAGUGAAAGGCCAAUCAAACUGGGAGAUAGCUCGUACUCCCCGAAAUGUCUUUAGGGACAGCCUCGUCGGUUUCCUUCAUGAGGUAGAGCUACCGAUUGGAAGCGAGGGCUUCGCCGCCUAUCAAUUCCAGACGAACUCCGAAUGCGUGAAGGUUCUACGACGGGAGUGAGUCGUCGGGUGCUAAUAUCCGGCGGCGAGAGGGUAAGAGCCCAGACCUCCGGCCAAGGCCCCCAAGAGCGGUCUAAGUUGAGACAGAACGAAGUGGCGCCGCAGAGACAGCCAGGAUGUUAGCUUGGAAGCAGCUAUUCAUUCAAAGAGUGCGUAACAGCUCACUGGUCGAGCGGAGCCGCGUGGAUGAUGAUCGGGCAUCAAGACCGCCGCCGAAGCCGAGGACGGCUGGCGCGAGUCAGUCGUGGUAGGGGAGCAUUCCGGUCGGCGCGGAAGGGAAGUCGCGAGGCUUCCUGGAGCGUCCGGAAAAGAAAAUGUAGGCAUGAGUAACGACAAGGGGCGUAGAAACGCCCCCGCCGAAAACCCAAGGUUUCCGGGGCCACGCUAAACGGCCCCGGGUGAGCCGGGAGCUAACGGUAAGCCGAGAGGCGAUCCGGAUGCACACGCGGUUAAUAUUCCGCGGCCGGCCCGUCGGGCGAUGUCGCGACCGAGAAGUGAAACCUCCGCGCGGAGACGGAAUUCCGCGUUGAAGGCCGUAGGGGUGACCCGAAAGCCGACAGUACGGCGAGCCUCCGGGCGAGCCGACAGCGAGGGUAAUCAUGCUCGCGAGAAAAGCGACUAGCGCUAAGAGACGGGCCGCCCGUACCGUAAACCGACACAGGUGGGUGGGGAGAGUAUCCUGAGGCGCUCGAGUGAAUCACGGCCAAGGAACUAGGCAAAUUGACCCCGUAACUUAGGGAUAAGGGGUCCCGCGGCGACGCGGGCGCAGAGAAAUGGCCCAGGCGACUGUUUACCAAAAACAUAUGGCUAUGCGAAAUCGUUAAGAUGACGAAUAUGGCCUGACACCUGCCCGGUGCCGGAAGGUUAAGAGGGGGGGUCACCGAAAGGGAAGCCCUGAAUUGAAGCCCCGGUAAACGGCGGCCGUAACUAUAACGGUCCUAAGGUAGCGAAAUUCCUUGUCAGGUAAGUUCUGACCCGCACGAAUGGCGUAAUGAUUUGGGCACUGUCUCAACAGCCCGCCCGGCGAAAUUGUAGUACUGGUGAAGAUGCCAGUUACCCGCAACUAGACGGAAAGACCCCAUGGAGCUUUACUGCAGUUUAAUACUGGGAAUCGGUAAUGCAUGUACAGGAUAGGUGGGAGACUAGGAAGCAUGGUCGUCAGGUCAUGUGGAGUCACCGGUGGGAUACCACUCUUGUAUUGCUGAUUUCCUAACCUGCGGCCGUGAAUCCGGUCGGGGGACACUGUUAGACGGGCAGUUUGACUGGGGCGGUCGCCUCCAAAAGAGUAACGGAGGCGCUCAAAGGUUCGUUCAGCACGGACGGAAAUCGUGCAUUGAGUGUAAACGCAUAAACGAGCCUAACUGCGAGACCGACGGGUCGAGCAGUAACGAAAGUUGGAGUUAGUGAUCCGGUGGUAUGUGAGUGGAAAUGCCAUCGCUCAACGGAUAAAAGCUACCCUGGGGAUAACAGGCUGAUCUCCCCCAAGAGU
Molecule: ribosomal RNA, 2453 nt
Filed under: human gut metagenome
Description: bacterial LSU rRNA
Rfam family: Bacterial large subunit ribosomal RNA
Source: RNAcentral